UGGGGAAUUUUGGACAAUGGGGGAAACCCUGAUCCAGCCAUCCCGCGUGUGCGAUGAAGGCCUUCGGGUUGUAAAGCACUUUUGGCAGGAAAGAAACGUCGCGGGUUAAUACCCGCGAACAUGACGGUACCUGCAGAAUAAGCACCGGCUAACUACGUGCCAGCAGCCGCGGUAAUACGUAGGGUGCAAGCGUUAAUCGGAAUUACUGGGCGUAAAGCGUGCGCAGGCGGUUCGGAAAGAAAGAUGUGAAAUCCCAGAGCUUAACUUUGGAACUGCAUUUUUAACUACCGGGCUAGAGUGUGUCAGAGGGAGGUGGAAUUCCGCGUGUAGCAGUGAAAAUGCGUAGAUAUGCGGAGGAACACCGAUGGCGAAGGCAGCCUCCUGGGAUAACACUGACGCUCAUGCACGAAAAGCGUGGGGAGCAAACAGGAUUAGAUACCCUGGUAG
This 447-nucleotide ribosomal RNA is filed under the name uncultured bacterium. RNAcentral describes it as "partial 16S ribosomal RNA". It matches the Rfam family "Bacterial small subunit ribosomal RNA", at positions 355 to 793 of the family's 1533-position model. The record is from RNAcentral.